GAAGCGAAAGUAAAAUUUCGUGGAGGUCCGAACCCACGAGCGUUGAAAAGCUCGGGGAUGACUUGUGGGUAGCGGUGAAAUUCCAAUCGAGCCCGGAGAUAGCUGGUUCUCCCCGAAAUAGCUUUAGGGCUAGCCUCAAGGUGAGAGAUACGGAGGUAGAGCACUGAAUGUCCUAGGGGGUAUUGCACCUACCGAAGACUAUCAAACUCCGAAUGCCGUCAUCUUAUACUUGGGAGUCAGACUGUGGGUGAUAAGAUUCAUAGUCGAAAGGGCAACAGCCCAGAUCGUCAGCUAAGGUCCCUAAAUGUAAGUUAAGUGGUAAAGGAUGUGGGAUUGCACAGACAACCAGGAUGUUGGCUUAGAAGCAGCCACUCAUUCAAAGAGUGCGUAAUAGCUCACUGGUCGAGUGAUCCUGCGCCGAAGAUUUCCGGGGCUAAAACUUACUACCGAAGCUACGGCAUCAGUAAUGAUGGGUAGGGGAGCUUCCCAUACGGGUUGAAGCAUGACCGUAAGGACAUGUGGACAGUAUGGGAGUGAGAAUGUUGGCAUGAGUAGCGAGAUGUGGGUGAGAAGCCCACAGGCCGUAAACCCAAGGUUUCCAGGGGAAGGUUCGUCCACCCUGGGUUAGUCGGGACCUAAGCUGAGGCCGAAAGGCGUAGGUGAUGGACAACAGGUUGAUAUUCCUGUACUACCGAUAACC
RNAcentral lists this ribosomal RNA (700 nucleotides) under Clostridioides difficile. Its description in RNAcentral is "bacterial LSU rRNA". It matches the Rfam family "Bacterial large subunit ribosomal RNA", at positions 747 to 1455 of the family's 2925-position model. The record is from RNAcentral. Lineage: Bacteria; Bacillati; Bacillota; Clostridia; Peptostreptococcales; Peptostreptococcaceae.